RNAcentral lists this ribosomal RNA (850 nucleotides) under uncultured bacterium. Its description in RNAcentral is "bacterial SSU rRNA". It matches the Rfam family "Bacterial small subunit ribosomal RNA", at positions 59 to 904 of the family's 1533-position model. The record is from RNAcentral.
CAGUCGAACGGAAGAUUACGGCGACGAGAUUUCGGUCAAAUCAAGUGUAUCUUUAGUGGCGGACGGGUGAGUAACGCGUGGGUAACCUGCCAUAUACAGGGGGAUAACACUUAGAAAUAGGUGCUAAUACCGCAUAAGCGCACAUGGCCGCAUGGCCAGGUGUGAAAAACUCCGGUGGUAUAUGAUGGACCCGCGUCUGAUUAGCUAGUUGGUGAGGUAACGGCCCACCAAGGCGACGAUCAGUAGCCGGCCUGAGAGGGUGGACGGCCACAUUGGGACUGAGACACGGCCCAAACUCCUACGGGAGGCAGCAGUGGGGGAUAUUGGACAAUGGGGGGAACCCUGAUCCAGCGACGCCGCGUGAGUGAAGAAGUAUCUCGGUAUGUAAAGCUCUAUCAGCAGGGAAGAAAGAAAUGACGGUACCUGAGUAAGAAGCCCCGGCUAACUACGUGCCAGCAGCCGCGGUAAUACGUAGGGGGCAAGCGUUAUCCGGAAUUACUGGGUGUAAAGGGAGCGUAGACGGUGAUGUAAGUCUGGAGUGAAAGGCGGGGGCCCAACCCCCGGACUGCUCUGGAAACUAUAUGACUGGAGUGCAGGAGAGGUGAGCGGAAUUCCUAGUGUAGCGGUGAAAUGCGUAGAUAUUAGGAGGAACACCAGUGGCGAAGGCGGCUCACUGGACUGUAACUGACGUUGAGGCUCGAAAGCGUGGGGAGCAAACAGGAUUAGAUACCCUGGUAGUCCACGCCGUAAACGAUGAUCACUAGGUGUGGGUGGGUAUGGACCCAUCGGUGCCGCAGCAAACGCAGUAAGUGAUCCACCUGGGGAGUACGUUCGCAAGAAUGAAACUCAA